UGACCACUCUUUACCGAGUUAUGGCCAUACGGACAGCCGGGUCAGAUGCCGA
RNAcentral lists this small RNA (52 nucleotides) under unclassified sequences. RNAcentral describes it as "Streptococcus sRNA SpF59 (ldcC RNA)". It matches the Rfam family "Streptococcus sRNA SpF59 (ldcC RNA)". RNAcentral also lists the same sequence under 1 other name. The record is from Rfam by way of RNAcentral.